Molecule: ribosomal RNA, 497 nt
Filed under: uncultured bacterium
Lineage: Bacteria
Description: partial 16S ribosomal RNA
Rfam family: Bacterial small subunit ribosomal RNA
Source: RNAcentral
GACGAACGCUGGCGGCGUGCCUAAUACAUGCAAGUUGAGCGCUGAAGGUUGGUACUUGUACCAACUGGAUGAGCAGCGAACGGGUGAGUAACGCGUGGGGAAUCUGCCUUUGAGCGGGGGACAACAUUUGGAAACGAAUGCUAAUACCGCAUAAAAACUUUAAACACAAGUUUUAAGUUUGAAAGAUGCAAUUGCAUCACUCAAAGAUGAUCCCGCGUUGUAUUAGCUAGUUGGUGAGGUAAAGGCUCACCAAGGCGAUGAUACAUAGCCGACCUGAGAGGGUGAUCGGCCACAUUGGGACUGAGACACGGCCCAAACUCCUACGGGAGGCAGCAGUAGGGAAUCUUCGGCAAUGGACGAAAGUCUGACCGAGCAACGCCGCGUGAGGGAAGAAGGUUGUCGGAUCGUAAAACUCUGUUGGUAGAGAAGAACGUUGGUGAGAGUGGAAAGCUCAUCAAGUGACAGUAACUACCCAGAAAGGGACGGCUAACUACGUG